Molecule: ribosomal RNA, 466 nt
Filed under: uncultured Thiobacillus sp.
Lineage: Bacteria; Pseudomonadati; Pseudomonadota; Betaproteobacteria; Nitrosomonadales; Thiobacillaceae
Description: bacterial SSU rRNA
Rfam family: Bacterial small subunit ribosomal RNA
Source: RNAcentral
AGACGGGGACCCGCACAAGCGUGGAUGAUGUGGAUUAAUUCGAUGCAACGCGAAGAACCUUACCUACCCUUGACAUGUCCGGAACUUGCCAGAGAUGGCUUGGUGCCCGAAAGGGAAUCGGAACACAGGUGCUGCAUGGCUGUCAUCAGCUCGUGUCGCGAGAUGUUGGGUUAAGUCCCGCAACGAGCGCAACCCUUAUCAUUAGUUGCUACGCAAGGGCACUCUAAUGAGACUGCCGGUGACAAACCGGAGGAAGGUGGGGAUGACGUCAAGUCCUCAUGGCCCUUAUGGGUAGGGCUUCACACGUCAUACAAUGGUCGGUACAGAGGGUUGCCAAGCCGCGAGGCGGAGCCAAUCCCACAAAGCCGAUCGUAGUCCGGAUUGUUCUCUGCAACUCGAGAGCAUGAAGUCGGAAUCGCUAGUAAUCGCAGGUCAGCAUACUGCGGUGAAUACGUUCCCGGGUCUU